ACGCUCGACACCUGGGAGGCAGCAGUGGGGAAUAUUGCACAAUGGGGGAAACCCUGAUGCAGCAACGCCGCGUGAAGGAAGACGGUUUUCGGAUUGUAAACUUCUGUUCUUAGUGAAGAUAGUGACGGUAGCUAAGGAGCAAGCCACGGCUAACUACGUGCCAACAGCCGCGGUAAUCUGAGCGGGCUGGCAAGGC
This 196-nucleotide ribosomal RNA is filed under the name uncultured bacterium. RNAcentral's name for it is "partial 16S ribosomal RNA". It matches the Rfam family "Bacterial small subunit ribosomal RNA", at positions 328 to 539 of the family's 1533-position model. The record is from RNAcentral.